Molecule: ribosomal RNA, 313 nt
Filed under: uncultured bacterium
Lineage: Bacteria
Description: bacterial SSU rRNA
Rfam family: Bacterial small subunit ribosomal RNA
Source: RNAcentral
AGAGUUUGAUCCUGGCUCAGAGCGAUCGUUGGCGGCAGGCCUAACACAUGCAAGUCGAACGCAUCUUCGGAUGAGUGGCGAACGGGUGAGUACAACAUGGAAAUCUGCCUCGGGGUGGGGGAUAACUUCUGGAAACAGAAGCUAAUACCGCAUACACCGCAUUGGGAAAACUCCGGUGCCCUGAGAUGAGUCCAUGCCUGAUUAGCUAGUUGGUGGGGUAAAAGCCUACCAAGGCAACGAUCAGUAGCGGGUUUGAGAGGAUGAUCCGCCACACUGGAACUGAGACACGGUCCAGACUCCUACGGGAGGCAGC